AAACCCUCACCCUCGUGAUGUCAAAGUCACGUCCGGUGGACUUGGAUAGUGCCGUAAUGGGCUCAUCCUGAAAUGCAUUAGCUUGCGCCGUUUAGAGUGCAUGGCACGGUGUGAUAAUUAUCUGCGUCGUUGCCUGGGCCUCUUGAGUUGUGCGCUGCUUACAGCACGUCCGUCUGCGGACAACACAUUUUAAG
RNAcentral lists this unclassified non-coding RNA (194 nucleotides) under uncultured Auriculariales. RNAcentral describes it as "sequence contains ITS2". The record is from RNAcentral. Lineage: Eukaryota; Fungi; Basidiomycota; Agaricomycetes; Auriculariales.